CCUCCUGAACUUACUGACACCCGCAAAGCAAGUGAAAACAGGGAACGGGACACAGUGGAAGUUCUGACUGAUUCGGACUGCGCAGUCUGUUGAGGAUAUGGAGUGGGACACAAACUGAAUUGAAAAGCCAAAGUGGGACCAGAGCCCUAAACCCAGGAUACAGAGUGAACCAAAAAAAGAACCAGACCUUGACCGCUGGACUAGGAAACAAAGAGAGAACUCACUCAUACCACGCUCACACUACAACAGCUUUUGCUGGAUUCCAGGCAGACAUUCUCUCAACUAAUGACUCAAUAGUGAAUCCACACACUGACCGAGGAAAACGACCUAUUGCACAACCUGCUGCAGAAGAAAAGACGACUCGAACGAGGAAUUGAAAGUCCCUAGCUGUUUGGUAUUUCGAUUUUUUUUAAAGGUAUUAUACAUAAAGGUGGUAUAUGGAGGUGAUGUGGACACCAAUGGGUUCCAGUUCUCUAUCCUCCACUUCAGCCCUGUUGAUGGGCAUAAUGGCACCCCGGCCCCUGCCUUUCCUAAAGAACCACGCUCUGUUCCAUCAUCUUGAUCAGUUCCGUCAUCUUGCUGAUGUCGAGAGAGAUUGUCCCGGCGCUUCACUGACAGGUUCCUGACCUCUUUCCUAUCAGUCGCCUCAUUGUCAUGAUCAGGCCCUACCACCACUGUGUUGUUCAGACGGUUUAAGACUGUGUUGGAGUUAUGCACUGACACUGACUGUAAACUAAUUGAGAUUACUGUGGUUUGUCACGCGCCAUAUUGCCACGGUUCACCGACUUUCUGAAUUAUUGUUUUGCCCACACUCCGCAAAUGUCAUAACAUCCGAUCCCUGAUCUGACCUCAUCCGAAACAACUACACAGGACGUUUGGGAGACUCGGUUUCAUCCGCUGCACAUCUCCUCUAGCUGCUCUGCUUCUCAUGACACUGCUCUCCACCUGGAAUUGUUUUCUGUCACUGACGCACUGGAAGAGACUAUAUUAUUUAGCAAACAAUCACAAUUUAACUUGCAGGUGCUUGUCCUACUUAAUGGAUUCUGUAGAAGGCUACAUUGCAACAUCCAUCCAUUCACCCAGUGUAGUGCUCGGCCACUUUACUACGCCCCCUGCAGGACUCCUGGCCCAGCUACGCUGCGGACACAGAUUCUUCUUGAUGCCCUGCACCAUGUUUUUGUUUCCCUCCCAUUACUUUGUAUUUGUAUUUUGCACAAAAUUGGCGGGUUGUUCCUUUGUCUACUUCUUUAACCUUACUGUUUGUUUCCUCCCUCCCAAGUGGAAAGUCGAUGCGUUCGUUCAUUGACACUUCGUUUCAUUCCCAGAGUUUGACACGGUAACGGCUGUGUGGUACAGCAAGCAGUGGUGAGAGUCAGUAAAACCUGAAAUCUGAUAUUAGCAAACAGAGGAUCUCCUUUGACAGUUUCGACAGUUACAUUUUCAGCAGCUCCCAAUAAAGAAGUGCCAGGAAUAAGACAGGGCACACACACACAAACAUACACACACAAACGGGCACACACACAGAUACAUACACGCACACACACACACACACACACAGGAAAAUAAGAGGAUACAGUAUUGUUCUAGGAACCUGACAGUUAGGCCUGUCAUUAUUCAAGCUGAGACAGUGAUGGAUAUAGGAUGCCAAAGAGAAGGGUUAGGAUCAGUGUCACUCAGCCAGGUAUCAUUUAAAUGAGCCUAUAUGGUGACUGCAAUGGCAUGGAAACACUUUAGUGAAUGAUGCCUGAAUUGCUGUAACCUAAGACGUAUGGUCCUGCUGUAAUUGUAUUGCAUUAUUCCAUCUAACCGGCGAAGGCAGAGUAAGGCAUAGAACAACUGCUAGGCACAGGGAUUACAAAAUCAUUGCUUACAAUACUGCAAACGUCUUUGUUUUUGGUCAUUAUUAGCUUCGUUCCUGGCUGGCACCAAACUGAAACAGCCAGUAAAUGAUGACCAGAAAUAAAAGGAAUGUUCAAAUCAUUUUCUGUGAGAAAUAGAGAGGGUGUUUGCGUGUUCAGAUUUUGCUCAGAGGACGUAGGCCUACCUUACCAUUGGAAGCUUUAAAUAACUGUAAGAAAGUCAUGUUGCAGUUUGUGUUUUUCCUUACCUUACAAUAAAG
Long non-coding RNA from Esox lucius (northern pike), 2119 nucleotides. RefSeq lists it as uncharacterized. The record is from RefSeq and is a predicted model, not a curated record. The transcript has 3 exons. NCBI's taxonomy places the organism in Eukaryota, Metazoa, Chordata, Actinopteri, Esociformes, Esocidae.